AUGAAGCUCAUCGGUUGGAACUGUUGGGGUCUCGGGAACGGCCCGGCAGUUUGAAGUCUCCUCGAAUUGGGGAGAGUGGAGGAGCCCGAUGUUUUAUUUUUGGCGGAGACAAAACUGUUGGAGAAGGAGUUGGAGGGGUUUAGGUGGAUGUUGGGAAUGCCUCACAUGGCUGCAUGGAGUUCAGAGGGGAGGAGUAGAGGGGUUGCUUUGUUCCGGCGAAGGGAGGUGGAUGUGUCUUUGCGAUCUUAUGGCAGGAGGCAUGUGGACGUGGAUGUUAAGGAAGAAGAUGGCAGGAUCUGGCGCCUUACAGCUGUCUAUGGGGAAUCUGUAAUGGAUUGGAAGGUGGAAACAUGGAAAACACUGAGAAUCCUUGGGCAACAACAUCAAAGUGACUAG
This 396-nucleotide ribosomal RNA is filed under the name Triticum aestivum (bread wheat). RNAcentral's name for it is "partial small subunit ribosomal RNA". Lineage: Eukaryota; Viridiplantae; Streptophyta; Magnoliopsida; Poales; Poaceae. The record is from RNAcentral.